UUUACACUGUAAAAUGUAAUAUUGUGUUUAAUUAAAAAUAUUAAAUAGGCUGAACUCAAUUUUUAUCAAUUUGUUAUUAGAACUCAAUUUAAAUAAGUUACCAGUACUUUUUAUGCAAAAAUGCUGAUAAACUCGAUUAAUUUGAGUUGUCCUAACUUAGAAAAACUAAGUAAGCUGGAAGUUUUGCUUCUCAGGGCGGAAGGAUGAAAGAUGUGUUUUGAAAAUGCCACGUGACUACCGUCCUCCUCCCUCCCGGAUCAGUCCGCAUGUUCAUGGCGCCAGCAUUUGUUAUGGAAUAUAUUGAGCAAACCUGGAGAUAUUAUUGUUGUCAUUGCUGUGGAUCUUUACUGACUUGGCUCGGGACCAGCACUCCUGUUGUUGGACAGAAAGACAUCAACUCAGUGGUAAGUGUUUUGGUUUUCCAAUAUAUUAGUAACUGUCAGUGACAUUUAUAUUAACCAGGCCGAACUUUAAUCAUACUUUAGAUCAGCCUGUUUUACUUAUUGUUUUAUUUGUGCUUUGGUUUGGGGAAGUUGUUUCUUUACUGAUCUUUUCCUGUCUUCUGUUAUUAGACUUGAGAUGUGACUGCACGAUGCUGUUGCUUCGACUCCAGUUAAUUCUACAAGACAUGCUGUGUAAGUAAACAAACAACAACAGUUUGGUCUGCAUUUCUUGAAAGAUCACAUCCCCCAAACUUAGUUUAGAGGGUCUACACUGUAUAUAGUGAAGUCUGCAAGUUUUCUAACAGCAAAAUUUGUUUUGUGCCCAAAAUCAUUUUGCACAUCAUUAGAAUGAAAGUUAUUGCCCAUGUUUGCAUAGCACUUUUUAAAGUUAUUCUUUCAUGACAAUAUUGUGUGUUGGUCACAGCUAUCCAGACUGACAAUUGGGACAUUGAAUGUCACCUCUCCGGCGGGGAGGGAGCCUGAGAUUGUCUAAAUUGGAGUCUGUUUUAUACCAAAUGCAGAAAAAAUGUUUUAAGAAAGCAAUU
This 988-nucleotide long non-coding RNA is filed under the name Oreochromis niloticus (Nile tilapia). Its description in RNAcentral is "lncRNA (ENSONIG00000036752.1)". Lineage: Eukaryota; Metazoa; Chordata; Actinopteri; Cichliformes; Cichlidae. The record is from RNAcentral.